Molecule: long non-coding RNA, 135 nt
Organism: Sphaeramia orbicularis (orbiculate cardinalfish)
Lineage: Eukaryota; Metazoa; Chordata; Actinopteri; Kurtiformes; Apogonidae
Exons: 3
Source: RefSeq, a predicted model, not a curated record
UGUGCAUACAGGCAGAGUUUAACACCAGGGUUAGAGUUAGACUGUGGAUACAGGUGGAGUUUAACACCAGGGUUAGAGUUAGACUGUGGAUACAGGUGGAGUUUAACACCAGGGUUAGUUAGAUUGAUGGAGUUC